This 935-nucleotide ribosomal RNA is filed under the name uncultured bacterium. Its description in RNAcentral is "bacterial SSU rRNA". It matches the Rfam family "Bacterial small subunit ribosomal RNA", at positions 551 to 1501 of the family's 1533-position model. The record is from RNAcentral.
UCAUUGGGUUUAAAAGGGGCGCGGCGGGAUUGGUAAGUCAGGGGUGAAAUCCCACGGCUCAACCUGGAACUGCCUUUGAAACUGCAGAGCUUGAAUCCUGGAGAGGGUGGCGAAAUUCCUGGUGUAGGAGUGAAAUCCGUAGAUAUCAGGAGGAACACCGGUGGCGAAGGCGGCCACCUGGACAGGUAUUGACGCUGAGGUGCGAAAGUGUGGGGAGCAAACAGGAUUAGAUACCCUGGUAGUCCACGCCGUAAACGAUGAUAGCUCGCUGUUGGCGAUACACAGCCAGCGGCUAAGCGAAAGCGGUAAGCUAUCCACCUGGGGAGUACGGCCGCAAGGCUGAAACUCAAAGGAAUUGACGGGGGCCCGCACAAGCGGAGGAACAUGUGGUUUAAUUCGAUGAUACGCGAGGAACCUUACCCGGGCUAGAACGCCGAGCGAAUAUGGGGGAAACUCCAUACCAGCAAUGGCGGUCGGCGAGGUGCUGCAUGGUUGUCGUCAGCUCGUGCCGUGAGGUGUCGGCUUAAGUGCCAUAACGAGCGCAACCCCUAUCGGUAGUUGCCAGCGGGUCAAGCCGGGAACUCUACCGAGACUGCCAGCGUAAGCUGUGAGGAAGGCGGGGAUGACGUCAAAUCAGCACGGCCCUUACGUCCGGGGCGACACACGUGUUACAAUGGCCGGUACAGAGGGCAGCGACUGGGCGACCAGGAGCGAAUCCCAAAGCCGGUCUCAGUUCGGAUCGGAGUCUGUAACCCGACUCCGUGAAGCUGGAUUCGCUAGUAAUCGCGCAUCAGCCACGGCGCGGUGAAUACGUUCCCGGGCCUUGUACACACCGCCCGUCAAGCCAUGGGAGCUGGAAGGACCUGAAGUCCGCGACCGCAAGGAGCGGCCUAGGGUAAAGCCGGUGACUGGGGCUAAGUCGUAACAAGGUAACC